GACGAACGCUGGCGGCGUGCCUAAUACAUGCAAGUUGAGCGAUGAAGAUUGGUGCUUGCACCAAUUUGAAGAGCAGCGAACGGGUGAGUAACGCGUGGGGAAUCUGCCUUUGAGCGGGGGACAACAUUUGGAAACGAAUGCUAAUACCGCAUAACAACUUUAAACAUAAGUUUUAAGUUUGAAAGAUGCAGUUGCAUCACUCAAAGAUGAUCCCGCGUUGUAUUAGCUAGUUAGUGAGGUAAAGGCUCACCAAGGCGAUGAUACAUAGCCGACCUGAGAGGGUGAUCGGCCACAUUGGGACUGAGACACGGCCCAAACUCCUACGGGAGGCAGCAGUAGGGAAUCUUCGGCAAUGGACGAAAGUCUGACCGAGCAACGCCGCGUGAGUGAAGAAGGUUUUCGGAUCGUAAAACUCUGUUGGUAGAGAAGAACGUUGGUGAGAGUGGAAAGCUCAUCAAGUGACGGUAACUACCCAGAAAGGGACGGCUAACUACGUG
RNAcentral lists this ribosomal RNA (497 nucleotides) under uncultured bacterium. RNAcentral describes it as "partial 16S ribosomal RNA". It matches the Rfam family "Bacterial small subunit ribosomal RNA", at positions 28 to 507 of the family's 1533-position model. The record is from RNAcentral.